RNAcentral lists this long non-coding RNA (353 nucleotides) under Bos taurus (domestic cattle). RNAcentral describes it as "long non-coding RNA NONBTAT022876". Lineage: Eukaryota; Metazoa; Chordata; Mammalia; Artiodactyla; Bovidae. The record is from RNAcentral.
CACGUUAUAGGAUUUAUUUCUUAUUAUUCAACCAGUAAGUCUUCUGACCCCAGCUUGUAGAACCCCCAAAGGGUCUGAUACUAAGACUAUCCCAGGACUCCCUGCCACCUCAGUGGGGCUAGUCCUGGAGCAGCCACUGUCCCAGGUGCUGAAGGAAGUAGCCCCCAUUCCUGCCCCCUCCACCUUCUCUCACUGUUGAGGACUCUCUUCACCUCCACUUCCUAGAACGUCCUGAUGAAAAUGAAGUCCUGGGUCAUGCUUCUCUGAGGGAAAAAUUUUCUUUUUGGUCCUUAGCUUCAGGUCGGUUUCACAGCAGAGCAGCUUGUAACUGUGUAACAGAUCUAACUAUGGAG